GCUGGGUGGCUCAGUCGGUUGAGUGCCUGACUUUGGCUCAGGUCAUGAUCUCACAGUUUGUGGGUUCGAGUCCCAUCUCAGGCU
This 84-nucleotide transfer RNA is filed under the name Felis catus (domestic cat). It matches the Rfam family "tRNA". Rfam says of the family: Transfer RNA (tRNA) molecules are approximately 80 nucleotides in length. Their secondary structure includes four short double-helical elements and three loops (D, anti-codon, and T loops). Further hydrogen bonds mediate the characteristic L-shaped molecular structure. tRNAs have two regions of fundamental functional importance: the anti-codon, which is responsible for specific mRNA codon recognition, and the 3' end, to which the tRNAs corresponding amino acid is attached (by aminoacyl-tRNA synthetases). tRNAs cope with the degeneracy of the genetic code in two manners: having more than one tRNA (with a specific anti-codon) for a particular amino acid; and 'wobble' base-pairing, i.e. permitting non-standard base-pairing at the 3rd anti-codon position. RNAcentral also lists the same sequence under 2 other names. Lineage: Eukaryota; Metazoa; Chordata; Mammalia; Carnivora; Felidae. The record is from Rfam by way of RNAcentral.